This 375-nucleotide ribosomal RNA is filed under the name uncultured bacterium. RNAcentral describes it as "bacterial SSU rRNA". It matches the Rfam family "Bacterial small subunit ribosomal RNA", at positions 521 to 896 of the family's 1533-position model. The record is from RNAcentral.
UAAGACGAACCGUGCGAACGUUGUUCGGAAUCACUGGGCUUAAAGGGCGCGUAGGCGGGCGUGACAGUCAGGGGUGAAAGCCCACGGCUCAACCGUGGAAGUGCCUUUGAUACUUCACGUCUGGAGGGAGGUAGGGGCGUGCGGAACUUCCGGUGGAGCGGUGAAAUGCGUAGAUAUCGGAAGGAACACCGGUGGCGAAAGCGGCGCGCUGGACCUCUUCUGACGCUGAGGCGCGAAAGCCAGGGGAGCAAACGGGAUUAGAUACCCCGGUAGUCCUGGCCCUAAACGAUGGGUACUAGGUUGUGGACUUACAUGGGUUCACAGCCGAAGCAAAAGUGUUAAGUACCCCGCCUGGGGAGUAUGGUCGCAAGGCUG